Cloeon dipterum is the source of this 1203-nucleotide long non-coding RNA. RefSeq lists it as uncharacterized. The transcript is spliced from 2 exons. The record is from RefSeq and is a predicted model, not a curated record. Lineage: Eukaryota; Metazoa; Arthropoda; Insecta; Ephemeroptera; Baetidae.
UAACAAUAAGAGACAGCAAGUGCAGAAUGAUGGUCGUCGGCCUAGCUCCUCUAGCUCUCGUGGUGUCGAUGGCUCUUGCAGCCUCAGAUUCGAUUGAAAAAAAUACACUUGAUACCCCCGAGAACUUGAAUAUUACUAAUCAAGGAUCUAAGUAUUGCCCAACUGAUGACCCUUCAUCGUCAGAUGAAUCGGCCUGCUUCCAAAACUUGACGUGCUUAUGCAAGACAACAAGCGUCACAAUGGAUCUGACUUGUUCACAGAAGACUAAUACACUGGAACUUUACGACAAACGCUCUGGUAUUCCAAUGUGUCCGAAAAAAUUGCACUGCAUGGAUAAAGGUGAUGCAAGCGGAUUUAAAACGAAAUACAAGAAAGCCAGCUGCUUUUGCAAUGACGAAAUGAAAUCAAGGUCCAAGCAGUGGAAGAAAAACGAGAUGGCCAAGCAACUCUCUAUCGAAGCAUUCAAAGUAACUUUGAGCAUGAUCCCGCACCCGAAUCUUGACUACUAUUGGAACUGCUCCGCCUCUGUCUUUGUGGCGAUCGCCCUAUUUUUGACCUUCGCACACUUCAGCAUCUGCCUGAAUGUGACAGCGAAGAUACGAAAAAUUUUCCAGAUUGACCGACGGAAUGGGCAAGUCACCAGCGAUGAGCCCAUCUAUCAAGAGCUUGACUGUGACACCACAGAUUCACGCCCGUUGGAUUUCUAUAGAAACAUAAAGUCCGUCAUCGCGGAGACUUCUGAAUACUUGGAGCUAAAUGAUAUUUAAGUUAAAUACCUUAAAUACAAAUACUAAACAAUCCAACUAUACCCACUGUAAUAUCAUUUCAUUAUGAAUAUUCAACUCAUAAUUAUCCAGGUAUUGCAAAAUAAAUGUGUUGUAUUAUUUAAUUAUUAUUUUCUGCCUUUUGUUAUGGUCGCAGUCUGUUGCGUCGAGAUGAAUAUCCCAAAGCUUGUCGUUCGCCUGCGUGUAACUUCAACUCUUUAUUUAAUCUUUUGAAAUCAGGGACUGUUGUGCAAUAUUUUCCGAUACAUUUUUACCAAAUAACUAUCUACCAGCGAUCGGACCUUUGACGGAAAACAGCUCCAUCCCAUUGAUUAUUUUGUGUUGUAUGAUAGCAAGAGGUCUAUAUUGCCCUUAUUGCUAUUUCUCAUAAUAUAUGUAAUUUGACAAAUUGGGACAUUAAAUUGCUUAAAUACAAUUA